RNAcentral lists this ribosomal RNA (440 nucleotides) under uncultured bacterium. Its description in RNAcentral is "partial 16S ribosomal RNA". It matches the Rfam family "Bacterial small subunit ribosomal RNA", at positions 338 to 794 of the family's 1533-position model. The record is from RNAcentral.
CCUACGGGGGGCAGCCGUGGGGAAUAUUGCACAAUGGGGGAAACCCUGAUGCAGCGACGCCGCGUGAGUGAAGAAGUAUUUCGGUAUGUAAAGCUCUAUCAGCAGGGAAGAAAAAAGACGGUACCUGACUAAGAAGCCCCGGCUAACUACGUGCCAGCAGCCGCGGUAAUACGUAGGGGGCAAGCGUUAUCCGGAUUUACUGGGUGUAAAGGGAGCGUAGACGGUGCGUCAAGUCUGAAGUGAAAGCCCGGGGAUUAACCCCGGGACUGCUUUGGAAACUGGCGCGCUAGAGUGCUGGAGAGGUAAGUGGAAUUCCUAGUGUAGCGGUGAAAUGCGUAGAUAUUAGGAGGAACACCAGUGGCGAAGGCGGCUUACUGGACAGUAACUGACGUUGAGGCUCGAAAGCGUGGGGAGCAAACAGGAUUAGAUACCCCAGUAGU